GCACAGGUGUGUCCAUCAGUGAAUAUACAUCAAUCAAGGAAAUUCACUUUUGUGAGUGCCUAGAAAAGAUUAUUUGGAUGUCCGAUAGACCACCUGAUAUUUCUGAUGGUGAUCUAAUGCCGCAUCUUUCUACGCAAGCAGUGGAUCUGUGAAGCCAGCGGUGGGCAUCUCACUUCAAAAUCGAUCACUGCUGCAUCCGCCCCAAAAUCAGGUCCAGAGUCUAAUCCAAUAUGAGAAAAUGUAAACAAUCAUGAAUUUAGAAAAAACCUUCACAGAAUUACCCUUAACUAAACAUUUAUGUGCCAUGUAGAGUUGGAGAUAUGUGUGUUAUGUAUUUCCAUAUUGGGCAUUGCCCCCAAAAAACUUAUACAUGCAUUCAUGUAGAUUCGGCCACAUUUAACCCUUAUGACAAUCCUUACAGAGGAGGAACUUGGAUGGAAAGGGGCAGACAUGCCUAGACUUGGGUACAUAAAUCACUGGUGUCGUCUCUAUUGUGCAAAGGAUAUGCGCCCAUCUAUUUACAUUACUUCAUUGAUAUUUGAAUUCAGACCAUAGCAGUUAAGUAUAUUCCCUUUUGAUUUUAAAGGUAAAGAUAAUAGAUGUUUGUAUUUAUUUGAAAUGAAUGACUAUUGUUA
Molecule: long non-coding RNA, 635 nt
Organism: Pseudophryne corroboree (corroboree frog)
Lineage: Eukaryota; Metazoa; Chordata; Amphibia; Anura; Myobatrachidae
Exons: 2
Source: RefSeq, a predicted model, not a curated record